UACGGAGGGUGCGAGCGUUGUCCGGAAUCACUGGGCGUAAAGGGCGCGUAGGCGGUGUGUCAAGUCAGGCGUGAAAGCCCCGGGCUCAACCUGGGAACAGCGCUUGAGACUGGCACGCUCGAGUUCGGGAGAGGAUGGUGGAAUUCCCAGUGUAGAGGUGAAAUUCGUAGAUAUUGGGAAGAACACCGAUGGCGAAGGCAGCCAUCUGGACCCGACGACUGACGCUGAGG
Molecule: ribosomal RNA, 230 nt
Filed under: uncultured bacterium
Lineage: Bacteria
Description: partial 16S ribosomal RNA
Rfam family: Bacterial small subunit ribosomal RNA
Source: RNAcentral